This 446-nucleotide ribosomal RNA is filed under the name uncultured bacterium. RNAcentral describes it as "bacterial SSU rRNA". It matches the Rfam family "Bacterial small subunit ribosomal RNA", at positions 329 to 792 of the family's 1533-position model. The record is from RNAcentral.
AGCCAGACUCCUACGGGAGGCAGCAGUGGGGAAUAUUGCACAAUGGGGGAAACCCUGAUGCAGCGACGCCGCGUGAGCGAAGAAGUAUCUCGGUAUGUAAAGCUCUAUCAGCAGGGAAGAAAAUGACGGUACCUGACUAAGAAGCCCCGGCUAACUACGUGCCAGCAGCCGCGGUAAUACGUAGGGGGCAAGCGUUAUCCGGAUUUACUGGGUGUAAAGGGAGCGCAGGCGGCGCGGUAAGUCUGAUGUGAAAGCCCGGGGCUCAACCCCGGGACUGCAUUGGAAACUGUCGUGCUGGAGUGUCGGAGGGGCAAGUGGAAUUCCUAGUGUAGCGGUGAAAUGCGUAGAUAUUAGGAGGAACACCAGUGGCGAAGGCGGCUUACUGGACUGUAACUGACGUUGAGGCUCGAAAGCGUGGGGAGCAAACAGGAUUAGAUACCCUAGUA